RNAcentral lists this ribosomal RNA (253 nucleotides) under uncultured bacterium. RNAcentral's name for it is "partial 16S ribosomal RNA". It matches the Rfam family "Bacterial small subunit ribosomal RNA", at positions 524 to 776 of the family's 1533-position model. The record is from RNAcentral.
UACGUAGGGGGCAAGCGUUGUCCGGAUUUAUUGGGCGUAAAGAGCGUGUAGGCGGCCAGGCAGGUCCGUUGUGAAAACUCGAGGCUCAACCUCGAGACGUCGAUGGAAACCGUCUGGCUAGAGUCCGGAAGAGGAGAGUGGAAUUCCUGGUGUAGCGGUGAAAUGCGCAGAUAUCAGGAAGAACACCUAUGGCGAAGGCAGCUCUCUGGGACGGUACUGACGCUGAGACGCGAAAGCGUGGGGAGCGAACAGG